UAUCCUACGGGACGCAGCAGGGAGGAAUAUUGGUCAAUGGACGAGAGUCUGAACCAGCCAAGUAGCGUGAAGGAUGACUGCCCUAUGGGUUGUAAACUUCUUUUAUAUGGGAAUAAAGUUUUCCACGUGUGGGAUUUUGUAUGUACCAUAUGAAUAAGGAUCGGCUAACUCCGUGCCAACAGCCGCGGUAAUACGGAGGAUCCGAGCGUUAUCCGGAUUUAUUGGGUUUAAAGGGAGCGUAGGUGGAUUGUUAAGUCAGUUGUGAAAGUUUGUGGCUC
Molecule: ribosomal RNA, 278 nt
Filed under: uncultured bacterium
Lineage: Bacteria
Description: partial 16S ribosomal RNA
Rfam family: Bacterial small subunit ribosomal RNA
Source: RNAcentral